This 252-nucleotide ribosomal RNA is filed under the name uncultured bacterium. RNAcentral describes it as "partial 16S ribosomal RNA". It matches the Rfam family "Bacterial small subunit ribosomal RNA", at positions 524 to 776 of the family's 1533-position model. The record is from RNAcentral.
GACGGAGGAUGCAAGCGUUAUCCGGAAUGAUUGGGCGUAAAGCGUCCGCAGGUGGCAGUUCAAGUCUGCUGGCAAAGACCGGGGCUUAACUUCGGAAAGGCAGUGAAACUGAACAGCUAGAGUAUGGUAGGGGCAGAGGGAAUUCCUGGUGUAGCGGUGAAAUGCGUAGAGAUCAGGAAGAACAUCGGUGGCGAAGGCGCUCUGCUGGACCAUAACUGACACUCAGGGACGAAAGCUAGGGGAGCGAAUGGG